This 902-nucleotide ribosomal RNA is filed under the name Phialocephala dimorphospora. RNAcentral describes it as "LSU rRNA". It matches the Rfam family "Eukaryotic large subunit ribosomal RNA", at positions 38 to 966 of the family's 3401-position model. Lineage: Eukaryota; Fungi; Ascomycota; Leotiomycetes; Helotiales; Mollisiaceae. The record is from RNAcentral.
GCAUAUCAAUAAGCGGAGGAAAAGAAACCAACAGGGAUUGCCUCAGUAACGGCGAGUGAAGCGGCAACAGCUCAAAUUUGAAAGCUGCCAACAGGCCGCAUUGUAAUUUGUAGAAGAUGCUUUGGGUGUCGGCCUAGUCUAAGUUCCUUGGAACAGGACGUCAUAGAGGGUGAGAAUCCCGUAUGUGAUUGGUGCCGGUGCCCGUGUAAAGCUCUUUCGACGAGUCGAGUUGUUUGGGAAUGCAGCUCAAAAUGGGUGGUAAAUUUCAUCUAAAGCUAAAUAUUGGCCAGAGACCGAUAGCGCACAAGUAGAGUGAUCGAAAGAUGAAAAGCACUUUGGAAAGAGAGUUAAACAGUACGUGAAAUUGUUGAAAGGGAAGCGCUUGCAACCAGACUUGCGGGCGGUCGAUCAUCCGAGGUUCUCCCCGGUGCACUCGAUCGUUCUCAGGCCAGCAUCGGUUUCGGUGGUGGGAUAAAGGCUGUGGGAAUGUGGCCCUUCGGGGUGUUAUAGCCCACGGUGCAAUGCCGCCUACCGGGACCGAGGACCGCGCUUCGGCUAGGAUGCUGGCGUAAUGGUUGUAAGCGACCCGUCUUGAAACACGGACCAAGGAGUCUAACAUCUAUGCGAGUGUUUGGGUGUCAAACCCAUACGCGUAAUGAAAGUGAACGGAGGUAAGAGCCCUUUAGGGUGCAUUAUCGACCGAUCCUGAUGUCUUCGGAUGGAUUUGAGUAAGAGCAUAGCUGUUGGGACCCGAAAGAUGGUGAACUAUGCGUGAAUAGGGUGAAGCCAGAGGAAACUCUGGUGGAGGCUCGCAGCGGUUCUGACGUGCAAAUCGAUCGUCAAAUUUGCGUAUAGGGGCGAAAGACUAAUCGAACCAUCUAGUAGCUGGAUUCCUGCCGAAG